UACGUAGGGGGCAAGCGUUGUCCGGAUUUACUGGGUGUAAAGGGGGCGCAGACGGCGAUGCAAGCCAGGAGUGGAAGCCCGGGGCCCAACCCCGGGACUGCUCUUGGAACUGCGUGGCUGGAGUGCAGGAGGGGCAGGCGGAAUUCCUGGUGUAGCGGUGAAAUGCGUAGAUAUCAGGAGGAACACCGGUGGCGAAGGCGGCCUGCUGGACUGCAACUGACGUUGAGGCCCGAAAGCGUGGGGAGCAAACAGG
This 253-nucleotide ribosomal RNA is filed under the name uncultured bacterium. RNAcentral's name for it is "partial 16S ribosomal RNA". It matches the Rfam family "Bacterial small subunit ribosomal RNA", at positions 524 to 776 of the family's 1533-position model. The record is from RNAcentral.